Molecule: ribosomal RNA, 385 nt
Filed under: uncultured bacterium
Lineage: Bacteria
Description: bacterial SSU rRNA
Rfam family: Bacterial small subunit ribosomal RNA
Source: RNAcentral
CCGGGUGAGUAACACGUGACUACCUGCCCUUGAGUGGGGGAUAACCUCGGGAAACCGAGGCUAAUACCGCAUAACAUCGCAAGAUCAAAGGAGCAAUCCGCUUUUGGAGGGGGUCGCGGCUGAUUAGCUAGUUGGUAGGGUAAUGGCCUACCAAGGCGAAGAUCGGUAUCCGGCCUGAGAGGGCGCACGGACACACUGGAACUGAAACACGGUCCAGACUCCUACGGGAGGCAGCAGUGGGGAAUUUUGCGCAAUGGGGGAAACCCUGACGCAGCAACGCCGCGUGGAGGAUGAAGCCCCUUGGGGUGUAAACUCCUUUCGACCGGGAAAAUAAUGAUGGUACCGGUGGAAGAAGCACCGGCUAACUCUGUGCCAGCAGCCGCGG